This is a non-coding RNA of Rattus norvegicus (Norway rat), 1093 nucleotides long. Lineage: Eukaryota; Metazoa; Chordata; Mammalia; Rodentia; Muridae. The record is from RefSeq and is a predicted model, not a curated record.
GUUGCUCACGCCUCUUCGCUCACCAAAACCACGCCCUCUCUGGCCGCCCGUCGUUACCACGCCCCCGUAUGACCACUCCCCUUGCUGCCCCAGUCCCUGGCUCCUCCUAGAUCCUUCCACGUGCAGUUGUCUCAUUGCUGAGCCCCUGGCCCUGUCCAUCUCCAGCACACCCGGGGCGGGGUCUAUGCUACUUUACCAAGGUAGGGGAUGACAGGCGAGCGUGACGCACACUGGGUGUGCAUCCCAAAUUUUCCUGAACUUUCAGCCUGAGCACUAUGUAUGUCUCUAUGCCUAAGCCACCCACUGCCAUCUGCGCUAACCACUGUGAUCCUGAGGUCGCAGCUGCUGGACCCUCCCCGGGUCUUGGCAGAGGGAAUGGAGGCCAAGUGGCUAUUGACCAUGUUCUGGAUGUAACACCAAGUUCACAUCAAGAUGGCGAAGUGAGCCGGUCACUGGGAAGUGGGUCAGUUACAUCACAUAAUCAGCAGGGCAGGUACCUAGCAUCCUCUUCUGACCCAUACCAUGACCUUUUGAUUUCUCAGUCUGAGACAGAGGUAGGAUCUCACAAUGCAGCUUAGAGCUUACAGGUUCAGAGGUUCAGUCUAUUGUCAUCAAGGUGGGAGCAGGCACGGUGCAGGAGGAGCUGAGAGUUCUACAUCUUCAUCUGAAGGCCACCAGAAGACUGACUCCCAGUAGGGAGCCGUCCAGGUCUGUCAGUGUCAACUACGACCUGCCAAAAGCAGCUCAACCGGCUCAGAAACAACAUCGGUGACAAGGACAAUGAUGCCCACGUGACCAGAACAUUUCCAGAGCUAUCCUCAAAGAUCUGAAGGACAUCUUCCUGCAUCCUCACACACCUCCCGCCAUCCAUGCAAGAGUUCCAUGGAUGAGUUCCAACCGGACCUCUCCAAGGAACUGGACUUCUCUGAGGGACUGAACCUCUCCAAGGGACUGGACCUCUCCGAGGGACUGUCCCAGGGGUAGGGGUUGGUGGCACUUAUCUGACUCUGUAAGACUACUCCCAUAGAGUUUUCGUUAGGAUAUCUUACUCUCCUUAGUUCCCUCAAGCAAGAGAUUAAAAAAACAAAAGCCA